GAAGUAGUUCACUGGAAUGAACGAGUUCGAAACAUCUCUACACUCACGGUCAUACAUUUCUAUGACUGUGGUUCCAAUGUAGUCAGUGGUGUUUAAAGGAAAGUCUUUGAUUAGUAAAAUCUUUGGAUGACGUUAUCGUUUGGUGGUUACAUUUGAACUUUGUUGUUUAGCGACUUUGCGUUGUUGUGACAUUUGACUCAUAACAGGAUAUGGAGGAACAACAGCAUGAAGUUCAGAGGCUAUGUUUACUGUUAUCAAAUUUAAAAAAUGAGAAUGAAGGAAUGCAGAAUGUUAUUACACCUUUAGAGUUGGAAAAUGAGAAGCAAGAUAAACUGGAAGCAAGCACUGAGAAGGUACACGAGACAGAACUAGCUGAAAUGAAUAAAGAGGAACAGCAGCAUGAAAUUGACAGACUGCGUUUACAGUUAUCCAAUUUAGAAAAUGAGAAUGAAGGAAUACAGAAUGUUAUUACAUCUCUGGAGGUGGAAAAUGAGGAGCAAGAUAAACUGCAAGCAAGCACUGAGAAGGUACAUGAGACAAAACUAGCUGAACUGAAUGAAGAGGAUCAAUGGCAUGAUAUUCACAGACUACGUUUACAGUUAUCCAAUUUAGAAAAUGAGAAUGAAGGAAUACAGAAUGUAAUUACGUCUUUAGAGGUGGAAAAUGAGGGUCAAGAUAAACUACAAGCAAGCACUGAGAAGGUACACGAGACAGAAAUAGCUGAAUUGAAUAAAGAGAUUAAUGAGCUGGAGUCAAAAAUUCAAGAACUCGAAGUAAUUUCAAGUUUGAGACGAGCAAGCAUCGAAAAGGCUGAAGAGCAACGUAUUAGUCUAACUACUGACAGUUCAGAGGAAUUACUGAUGCUAGAGGCUGAAAAAUGUGAAGCUUGGAAAACCUAUUCAGAGUUACAGAAGGGAACUGAAGAGCUUAAUGCACAAAAUAAUCUACUGGCAAGUGAAACAAAUGAGCUUUCAGAAAAAAUUUCUGAACUGUGUUCAAAACUGGCUCUGACAGUUGAGGAGUGUAAUAUGUCCAAUGAAAAAAUGGAGGCUCUUCAGGAAGAAAAUCUCAUAAUGAAAGGUGAGCUUGAAAUGCUCAAGGGAAAGGUGGUCAAUCAUUCUUCAAAAGGAAACUCACUGUUUGCUGAAGUUGAAGUUAGUCGACAGCAAUUGAAAAAUGAGGCCAAGAAGCAGAAAGAGCAGCUUUUGGCUUUACAGAACACAUAUUCCCAGACAGUGUUUGAGAUUCGGAAACUUAUGAAAGAAAAUGCCAAAAUGUCUGAAGAACUAGAACAUGCCAAAGAACAAAGAUCAACGGAAGAAUUAAAACUGCAACUCACUACAUACAAACAAUGCAUAAAGGAUCUAGAAGAUGCACAAAAAAUAUGGGAUCAGGAAGAAGCUGCUGGACCCAUUGUUCGUGGUCAAGAUGAUGAGACAGGGAAAUUUUAUGAUAAUUUACUGAGGGAAGAGAGAGAGAAGACAAAACAGGUGUGGGAACGAUGUGAAGAUAUUAUGGCAAGGUACAUUGCAGCAACUGAAGAAGUCGCAGCCACUGAACGUGAGAAAGCAGUUGUGGAAAGUAGGAAACUGCGUGCUGAGGCAGAAAUAGUAAAACUUAAACUGCAGCUCCUGAAGAGUGAAGAAGAUAACCAUAAAGAGAAUGUGCUGCAACUAGUUGUUGAAAGAUGUCCUCUUAAAGAAGUACAGAACAUAAGGAAAAGCAAGUUUGCUGCAGAAGAAGUAGAUUGUUCUACAAGAAAACUUCUCACCAAGAAAGAAGCGGAUAAAAGAGGUCGCUUGACUUGCAGUUAAAAAUGUAAGUGUGUGUGUGUGUGUGUGUGUGUGUGUGUGUGUGUGUGUGUGUGUGUGUGUGUGUGUGUGUGUGUGUGUGUGUGUGUG
RNAcentral lists this unclassified non-coding RNA (1901 nucleotides) under Schistocerca americana (American grasshopper). RNAcentral's name for it is "protein Spindly-like, transcript variant X1". The record is from RNAcentral. Lineage: Eukaryota; Metazoa; Arthropoda; Insecta; Orthoptera; Acrididae.